This 1009-nucleotide long non-coding RNA is filed under the name Homo sapiens (human). Its description in RNAcentral is "non-protein coding lnc-STC2-1:3". The record is from RNAcentral. Lineage: Eukaryota; Metazoa; Chordata; Mammalia; Primates; Hominidae.
CGAAACCUCUGAUCAUGUUCUGUAGAGUACACCCGCUCAACUGAUCCAAUGCAACCAAUACAGUAUUGGAAGCUUUCUACGAACAAGGCACCCAGAGAGGGCUCGGAGGAAGAUGACAGUGCCAACGGGCACAGGGAGAAUCGUGAGCUUACUGCACCUUCCCAGCAGGCAGAGUGAGCCCGUAGGACAAGAGCCCCCUUUCUCCGUUUCCCAUCUGCCCUGCAGCCCCGAGGAACGGUCCAUUCUACAGACAAGAGGCCUGACGCUCAGAAGCAAAGCAACUUGCCACAAUCGCAUCACCGGGAAAGUACCUUCAAGACAGUCCUGGACGCGGUGGCUUCACGCCUGUAAUACCAGCACUUUGGGAGGCCAAGGCAAGAGGAUCACUGGAUCACUUGAGCCCAGAAGUUUGAGACUAGCCUGGACAACAUAGUGAAACCCCUGUCUUUACAAAAAUUGAUUAAUUAAUUAAUUGUUUAAAAGAGACUAUUCCUCAUUCUUUUGACAUCAUUUUAAAUGAGAAUGCAGAAUAUGACAUUGUACAUACUGAUAUUUGAUUCCUUUUAUAUAACCUUUCAUGUAUUAAAAAACUGCACUGAAAAUCUAGAAUUAAGUUAAAAUUGGUGUGGGUUAUUUGUGAAUGGUGGGAUUUUUUAAAUGUAUUCCAACACCCAUAUAUUCCAACUUUUCCACACUUCCAAAGUCUGGAAUACUUUGAGGAUGGGGAGGAAAGAUAUGUUUACGGUCCUUGGGAAACUGAAAAGCAUUUCCUGUGAUGUCCCAGGGAGCUGGGGCACAGGAGCCAGCCUUGAAGUGGAAACCCCAGGCCAUCCACUCACAAUCUGAGUAUCCUUGGGUGAGUGAUCUCUCUAACCUCCCAUCGAGUCCCCUGUAAACUAGAAAUAAUUAUAGCUGCCCACAUCACUGUCUUACUAUAAGAGUAAAAUGAGAUAAUGUAUUUUAAAACAUUGGUAUAGUGUGAGUAUUCAAUAAAUAUUCUUUGAGUGAA